GAGAGUUUGAUCCUGGCUCAGGAUGAACGCUAGCUACAGGCUUAACACAUGCAAGUCGAGGGGCAGCAUGGUCUUAGCUUGCUAAGGCCGAUGGCGACCGGCGCACGGGUGAGUAACACGUAUCCAACCUGCCGUCUACUCUUGGACAGCCUUCUGAAAGGAAGAUUAAUACAAGAUGGCAUCAUGAGUCCGCAUGUUCACAUGAUUAAAGGUAUUCCGGUAGACGAUGGGGAUGCGUUCCAUUAGAUAGUAGGCGGGGUAACGGCCCACCUAGUCUUCGAUGGAUAGGGGUUCUGAGAGGAAGGUCCCCCACAUUGGAACUGAGACACGGUCCAAACUCCUACGGGAGGCAGCAGUGAGGAAUAUUGGUCAAUGGGCGAGAGCCUGAACCAGCCAAGUAGCGUGAAGGAUGACUGCCCUAUGGGUUGUAAACUUCUUUUAUAAAGGAAUAAAGUCGGGUAUGGAUACCCGUUUGCAUGUACUUUAUGAAUAAGGAUCGGCUAACUCCGUGCCAGCAGCCGCGGUAAUACGGAGGAUCCGAGCGUUAUCCGGAUUUAUUGGGUUUAAAGGGAGCGUAGAUGGAUGUUUAAGUCAGUUGUGAAAGUUUGCGGCUCAACCGUAAAAUUGCAGUUGAUACUGGAUAUCUUGAGUGCAGUUGAGGCAGGCGGAAUUCGUGGUGUAGCGGUGAAAUGCUUAGAUAUCACGAAGAACUCCGAUUGCGAAGGCAGCCUGCUAAGCUGCAACUGACAUUGAGGCUCGAAAGUGUGGGUAUCAAACAGGAUUAGAUACCCUGGUAGUCCACACGGUAAACGAUGAAUACUCGCUGUUUGCGAUAUACUGCAAGCGGCCAAGCGAAAGCGUUAAGUAUUCCACCUGGGGAGUACGCCGGCAACGGUGAAACUCAAAGGAAUUGACGGGGGCCCGCACAAGCGGAGGAACAUGUGGUUUAAUUCGAUGAUACGCGAGGAACCUUACCCGGGCUUAAAUUGCAGAUGAAUUACGGUGAAAGCCGUAAGCCGCAAGGCAUCUGUGAAGGUGCUGCAUGGUUGUCGUCAGCUCGUGCCGUGAGGUGUCGGCUUAAGUGCCAUAACGAGCGCAACCCUUGUUGUCAGUUACUAACAGGUUCUGCUGAGGACUCUGACAAGACUGCCAUCGUAAGAUGUGAGGAAGGUGGGGAUGACGUCAAAUCAGCACGGCCCUUACGUCCGGGGCUACACACGUGUUACAAUGGGGGGUACAGAGGGCCGCUACCACGCGAGUGGAUGCCAAUCCCAAAAACCUCUCUCAGUUCGGACUGGAGUCUGCAACCCGACUCCACGAAGCUGGAUUCGCUAGUAAUCGCGCAUCAGCCACGGCGCGGUGAAUACGUUCCCGGGCCUUGUACACACCGCCCGUCAAGCCAUGGGAGCCGGGGGUACCUGAAGUGCGUAACCGCGAGGAGCGCCCUAGGGUAAAACUGGUGACUGGGGCUAAGUCGUAACAAGGUAACCG
RNAcentral lists this ribosomal RNA (1491 nucleotides) under uncultured bacterium. Its description in RNAcentral is "bacterial SSU rRNA". It matches the Rfam family "Bacterial small subunit ribosomal RNA". The record is from RNAcentral.